This 322-nucleotide ribosomal RNA is filed under the name uncultured fungus. RNAcentral describes it as "LSU rRNA". The record is from RNAcentral. Lineage: Eukaryota; Fungi.
UACGUAAUUACUUGUGGGCGUGCGUGAGUUUCGGCCUCGCUGUUUGCAUGUUUGUGCGCUUUGGGUGUACUUUUUCGUAUGGUUGGCCAACAUCAGUUUCGAUCACUAUAAAAUGACUGGCGGAAUGUAGCUUCGAUUUCGGUUGAAGUGUUAUAGCCUCUGGUAGAUGUGGUGAUUGAGACUGAGGAUUGCAACGAAUAUCCUUUGGGCUAUCCGUCUGGCCUCUGAAAGUUGCUUGGGUGCUGAAAGCUUGCUUAUGGUUAUCUAAGUUAACGGUCAAUAGGUUAGAACGUGAUUACAUUCGUUAAGGAUGUUGACGUAA